CCAACCUGCAAGCAGAUAGAAAAUAAGCUAAUCCUAUAGGACAGAAAAAGGAAAAGGGGAGGAGUCAUAAGUGGAUAUAAGCAUAAGACACCUAAGCCAGAAAUGGCAACCCUUCCAGUUCCCCUUCCACUGUGUGGAAGCUUUACUUUCACUUUUGCUUUACUUUGGCUUUAAUAAAUCUUGACCCAGCACUCUCUUUAGGUCUGCAUGCUUCUCAAAUUGAGCUGUAACACUCACUGCUGCGGUCCAAGCCUUCAUUCUUUGAAGCCCGUGGAACCACAAACUCUUCAAUUGAUAAAAACCUUCGAUCGGAAGAGACUUCUCAUCUCAUUUCUGGGGGCCUGUCCGGGAUUUCUCUGAAGUGAAUAGAAUCCAUGAAACUGCAAGUGGUUCUACAAAUGGAGCCCCAAAUGACCACCACUAGCACCUACUAUCGAGGACCCCUAGACUGACCUACCAACCUGUUCUAACACCACGACACUGAAGAAGACUCCCCUCCUGAGGAACCCUCAACUGCAGAUCCCCUUCUGUGCCCCAGUUCAGCAGGAAGUAGCUAGAAUGAUCAUUGCCCAACUUCUCAACAGCACUUGGGCUUUCCUGUUGAGAGGGGGUACUGAGGCACUAAGUGGCUAAGUUAGCUAGACUUCCUGGGUCAACAGGGACUUCCCUAAGGGGACAUUCCUCUAAGCCAAAAUGAGUCAUAGCUGCAAGCUAAGGGAUUGAAACUUCAACCAAUCAAAGGGGACUUUCUCCUAAGCAAAAAUGAGUCACUGCUGCAAACUAAGUGAUUGAAACUUCACCCAAUCAUAUAGGGAGUUUAAGCUUUAGCUGCAGCCUGAUGUUUUUAACCAAUCAGGCCUGCCAACCCACAAGCAGAUAGAAAAUAAGCUAAUCCUAUGGGACAGAAAAAGGAAAAGGGGAGGAGUCAUAAGAGGAUAUAAGCAUAAGACACCCAAGCCAGAAACGGAAACCCUUCCGGGUCUCCUUCCACCACGUGGAAGCUUUACUUUUGCUUUUACUUUACUUUCACUUUAAUAAACCUUGGCGCUGCACACUCUUUGGGUCUGUACGUUUCUCUAAUUGAGCUGUAACACUCGCCGCUGUGGUCCACGGCUUCAUUCCUUGAAGCCUGUGAGACCACGAACCCUUCAAUUGAGAAAAACCUUCAAUCAGAAGAAGACUUCUUGUCUCAAUAUCACUUCCUUCGAAAACAUAAUUCAAGAGUUAUUCACAUCAUAGUUAUUUUUCACUCCCCGCUAAUAGCAGGAGUCACUUCCAAUAUACUAGAAUUUCAAAAAGGAACUGUAACUUAUAGUUUACAGUCAGUGUUUGUUUGAAAUGUAAAGCCUGACCAUUCAACUGCCAUGAUUGAAGCACUCUGAAAGACUUCCAUGGCCUUAGGAUAAAGUUCAUCCUCCUUUACAAGGAGCACAAGACCCUUAGAAUUCCAGACCCUGAUUUAGUCUUCAUCUUAUACGAAUGCUGCCCGGCAUGCUUCAUUUAGUUCUGCAAUAAACAGAGCAUACAGCAUGGUUGUGGAUCUCACUAGAGACCCAAAGAAAACAUCCCACAGGAAAUGAUGAAAAAUAAUAAGAGCAUUAUAUGUAUUGGAGCGUGGACCAGGCAGUUGAAGUGGAAAACACAGGGGAGGGAGCCGUAAAGACUUAAAAAUGAUGUCCAGUUCCCACCUCCCAGACCUAUUGAAUGUGAAUAUC
Molecule: long non-coding RNA, 1715 nt
Filed under: Homo sapiens (human)
Lineage: Eukaryota; Metazoa; Chordata; Mammalia; Primates; Hominidae
Description: HSALNT0112120
Source: RNAcentral